UCGCUAUAGAGACCAGCAAAAUCAAAAUAGUACUAUAUGAUGGUCCCUAGCCGGCCGUUGUGCCGUGCGUGGACGGAAGCACCUAGAAAGCAAAGCAUGUUUUCGAUCAUCUGGUUCUUGGGGACACGCAUCUCCAGCCGAUAAUCGACAAGAGUAUUCUUUGUGAAUGAGUUGUGAUUGAUAGUCCCGGUCCGCCGGCCGGAACAGAUGCAUCACUUCAUUUCUGCGACUCGUGUCACGUAGCUGUCAACCUCGUUCCGAGAUCCCUAUCAGACGCUUGAAACCCACACACGUGUGCCUACCUACAGGAGCUCGAGUUGCGUGGGUAGCAAGAAGCUAGAAAUCACUCAAUUAUCAGCUAGCAGCUCACAUCGGUACAUGAGAGAGACUUGAGAGAAAAGUGGACUACUGUCAGGAAUUAUGAGCUCAGAUCCAUCGGUACAUGAGAGAGACAAGUGCAUCUCUCGGUGCUGCAUGCCGAAAUGUGCGAUGGUAUGCCCCGCGGGGCAACCAAACUGAUGAGGAAUAGAGAGUCGAUGACGAUGGGGUAGUGAAAUGACUUCUGUAUCUUGGCCAAUGAUGCUCUGGUUAGACUAAGUAUCUACAGCCGGAACCUAUACUGACGAAGUGGAUGGCAGGUGAGUGACCGGUCAUUUUUUACGAUGAAAUCGACCUCCUUGAACAGCACAUAUAUGUGUGAGCUAAUCGGUACUCUUUAUAUCUAGCCUAUAUAUAAGGUGGCUAUGGAGUGGCCCGUUUUCGAUAUUGCGACCCAACAUGCCCUGCACAGACUUUACUUUGUCCCCACUAAAAAUCUCCAUCGAUCCGAGCCCUAGAUUCAUUCUCUCACCCUCCGCUCGGCUCUCCGUCACUUCUCCUCUCCUCUCAGUCCCAAUGUCGAGUCCCAAUUGUUUGAAGUAGAAAGUAAAGAACGAGAGAGUUGAAUGAAAG
Molecule: long non-coding RNA, 951 nt
Filed under: Hordeum vulgare
Lineage: Eukaryota; Viridiplantae; Streptophyta; Magnoliopsida; Poales; Poaceae
Description: long non-coding RNA (HVUL_LNC002206)
Source: RNAcentral